AAACAAUCUUUUGCACCCUUUUGUGCACUGAUUUUUAUAUACCCCACGGUGUUAAUUUUUGCAUGUCUUGCCUUUGACUUCUAGGGAGUCGAAUGAAAGAAUACAACUUUCAACAACGGAUCUCUUGGCUUUCGCAUCGAUGAAGAACGCCGCGAACGUGCGAAACGUAAUGUGAAUUGCAGAAUUCAGUGAAUCAUCGAAUCUUUGAACGCAUCUUGUGCCCCUUGGUAUUCCGAGGGGCAUGCCUGUUUGAGUGUCGUGAAACUCUCUCGAGUGCCACACUUUUGCCCCCCAUGGGGACGGAAGUGUGGCACUCGGAUUUGGAUGUCUGCCGAUCUUGUGGCUCGGCUCAUCCCAAAAUGCAGUCAGCUUCGGGUUUCUUGACUCCCACCCUCUCUCCCUCUUGGUGUGAUAAAAGGAAAACAGAUUCCGAUCGCCGGGGGAAAGGGAGAGAAAGGGGGCUGGGUCGAAAACCUGGGCUCCUAACUGUCAUCUCUGAA
Molecule: small RNA, 500 nt
Filed under: Phallales sp. GT-2016
Lineage: Eukaryota; Fungi; Basidiomycota; Agaricomycetes; Phallales
Description: eukaryotic LSU rRNA
Rfam family: 5.8S ribosomal RNA (bases 105-259)
Source: RNAcentral